ACCUGAUGUCGGCAUCCGGCUCCCUCGACCGGGAUAACUCCGGGAAACCGGAGCUAAUACCGGAUAACACCGAAGACCGCAUGGUCUUCGGUUGAAAGGCGGCCUUUGGGCUGUCACUUGCGGAUGGGCCCGCGGCGCAUUAGCUAGUUGGUGAGGUAACGGCUCACCAAGGCGACGAUGCGUAGCCGGCCUGAGAGGGUGACCGGCCACACUGGGACUGAGACACGGCCCAGACUCCUACGGGAGGCAGCAGUAGGGAAUCUUCCGCAAUGGGCGAAAGCCUGACGGAGCGACGCCGCGUGAGCGAAGAAGGCCUUCGGGUCGUAAAGCUCUGUUGUGAGGGACGAAGGAGCGCCGUUUGAAGAGGGCGGCGCGGUGACGGUACCUCACGAGAAAGCCCCGGCUAACUACGUGCCAGCAGCCGCGGUAAUACGUAGGGGGCGAGCGUUGUCCGGAAUUAUUGGGCGUAAGCGCGCGCAGGCGGUCUCUUAAGUCUGAUGUGAAAGCCACGGCUCAACCGUGGAGGGUCAUUGGAAACUGGGGGACUUGAGGGCAGGAGAGGAGAGCGGAAUUCACGUGUAGCCGUGAAAUGCGUAGAGGAUGUGAGGAACACCAGUGGCGAAGGCGGCUCCUCUGGCCUGCACCUGACGCUGAGGCCGCGAAAGCGUGGGGGAGCAAACAGGAAUAAGAUACCCUGGGUAGUCCACGCCCGUAAACGAAUGAGUGCUAAGGUGUUUGGGGUUCACACCCUUUAUGGCUGACGCUAACGCGAUAAGCACUUCCCGCCUGGGAGAUACCGGCCCGCAAGGCUUGAACCUCAAAGGAAUUGAGCGGGGCCCGCCACACGCGGGUGGAC
Molecule: ribosomal RNA, 856 nt
Filed under: Geobacillus stearothermophilus
Lineage: Bacteria; Bacillati; Bacillota; Bacilli; Caryophanales; Anoxybacillaceae
Description: bacterial SSU rRNA
Rfam family: Bacterial small subunit ribosomal RNA
Source: RNAcentral